AGAGUUUGAUCAUGGCUCAGAACGAACGCUGGCGGCAUGCCUAACACAUGCAAGUCGAACGAAGGCUUCGGCCUUAGUGGCGCACGGGUGCGUAACGCGUGGGAAUAUACCUUAUAGUGGGGAAUAACUUUGGGAAACUAAAGCUAAUACCGCAUACGCCCGAGAGGGGAAAGAUUUAUCGCUAUAAGAUUAGCCCGCGUGAGAUUAGGUAGUUGGUGGGGUAAUGGCCUACCAAGCCUACGAUCUCUAGCUGGUCUGAGAGGAUGAUCAGCCACACUGGAACUGAGACACGGUCCAGACUCCUACGGGAGGCAGCAGUGGGGAAUAUUGGGCAAUGGAGGAAACUCUGACCCAGCCAUGCCGCGUGAAUGAUGAAGGCCUUAGGGUUGUAAAGUUCUUUCGCCGAUGAAGAUAAUGACGGUAGUCGGAGAAGAAGCCCCGGCUAACUUCGUGCCAGCAGCCGCGGUAAUACGAAGGGGGCUAGCGUUGUUCGGAAUUACUGGGCGUAAAGCGAGCGUAGGUUGCUCGAUAAGUCAGUGGUGAAAGCCCAGAGCUCAACUCUGGAACUGCCAUUGAAACUGUCGAGCUGGAAUCUCAGAGGGGGUAGCGGAAUUCCAAAUGUAGGGGUGAAAUCCGUAGAUAUUUGGAGGAACACCGGUGGCGAAGGCGGCUACCUGGAUGAGUAUUGACACUGAGGCUCGAAAGCGUGGGGAUCAAACAGGAUUAGAUACCCUGGUAGUCC
Molecule: ribosomal RNA, 742 nt
Filed under: uncultured bacterium
Lineage: Bacteria
Description: bacterial SSU rRNA
Rfam family: Bacterial small subunit ribosomal RNA
Source: RNAcentral